UGAACCAUUACCCUUAAAGUCAAGCAUGACUAUGAGGGCAAUGGUUCGAGUCCCCACGGACUCAAACUCCCUCAAUUAAUUAUAAUUGUGUGGAGAUUGUUUAUAACGUCUUUCUCCCUUGUGAAAUGCGAGUGGAGUCGAGACAUCCCUCUUCCUUGAAGGGUAUUUGGUUGGGCAUGUACUUUAUAGAAUAAAAAUAUAAUAGUGUAAGUCACAUGUAUAUAUCUUAUUGUAAAUAUCAGUGCAAUGAUAUGUUGUUAUUUGUAAAUAUCUCUAUAUUAAUAAUAAUGUAAGUCACAUGUAUAUAUCUGAUUGUAAAUAUCAGUGCAAUGAUAUGUUGUUAUUUGUAAAUAUCUCUGUGUAAUACAGUAGUAACCUGAUGCUUAA
RNAcentral lists this long non-coding RNA (387 nucleotides) under Citrus maxima (pomelo). Its description in RNAcentral is "long non-coding RNA (CMAX_LNC003532)". Lineage: Eukaryota; Viridiplantae; Streptophyta; Magnoliopsida; Sapindales; Rutaceae. The record is from RNAcentral.